CUAACUCCAUGGUCUCGAACACCUUCGGAGAAUUAGGCUUUCCCUAAUCUAACCCCGAGAUGGCCCAUGCUUUAGUAUAGAUGCCACACAAACAAGCAACAAGCGUGAGGUAGCUCCACCUCUAACCUCCACGCACAUCUAGACUCAAAGCAUAACAAUCACUCGCCCUAGUCUAGACAAACACACACACAAACACUACUUAGCAUGAGGGAGCUUAACCUCAAACCUCGAUGCACCUAAGUCUAGACUAAAACUAAAUAACUAAGCGAGUGACAACUAAACAAACAACCAAUCAAUCACACAACAUGUAUGCAUGCAGCACAAACUUUCCCCGGGGCCCUGCAGAAAAUCGAUUAACUAUGCCCCGAGUCUCCGUUUAAGACCCGUUGGUCAAGCUCGAACCUGCAUACAAAACACAACACAAGAAACACACAGGAAACCCACCUUGACAAUGCUUCUCCAAUCGGUGGUCGCCAUGUCAUCGCGUCUUCACUUUCUUCGCCAUGUCAACAACUUCUAAACCUCUUCUUCAAAUGAGAAAACUCAUUCCUUGAUUUACUUAGACAAUGGUUCUCCUUCUUCGGUUUCAAAACGUUGUUCUCCUCUUGCUCGGUUUUUAUUGAUUUUCUCGUACCGGCAGAAAACUGUCUUUCGACCAUGACCGUUCCUCGUUUCGACCACGACUAAGGUCAAGGUCUUUGACUUUUCUACUUAUGAGCAGGGUCAUUACAUUCUCCCCCACUCAUUAGAAUUCGUCCCCGAAUUCUAAGGUGCUGAUGACGUCGCUGCUUCAUCUUCGAAGAACUCUGGAUAGUUCUGACGAAAUCUGUCUUCAUCUUCCCAUGUUAUCACCAAGCGGUUUUGUCUUCCCCAAAAGACUUGGAUUUUAGGAAUCUCCCUAUUCUUCAGCAUCUUCAAACGUCGUUCCCCGAUGCGUAUCGGCCCUUCUGGAUAUGUGAGAUUUGUCCUCAGCUCUGGGAUUCUCUCAGGCUCGAUAGAAUCAGGAUCUCGAAUGUGCCUUCUCAGCAUAGAUACAUGAAAUACAGGGUGUAAAUUCAUGUCUUCUGGCAGCUCUAGCCUGUAAGCUACUUCUCCUACUCUUCCAAUGAUCCAGUAUGGACCAAUGAAACGAACUGCUAACUUCCCAACUUUGCCGAAAUGAUCCUUUCCUUUCUGAGCUGAUACCUUGAGAUAGACCAUAUCUCCAACUGCAAAUACUACUUCUCGCCUUCUUUGAUCCGCGUUCUUCUUCUGUCGAUCAUGUGCCUUCUUCAUGUUUGCUCGGAUGACUUGCAGCUUCUCCAAUGUUUCUUCAAUGACUCCUGGUCUGAAUAAUCUUCGUUCUCCAACUUCCGUCCAACAUAGAGGUGUUCGACAGGGUCUUCCGUACAAUGCCUCGUAUGGUGACAUUGCAAUGCUGGCGUGGAAACUAUUGUUGUAGGAAAAUUCUAUCAAAGGUAGAUAGUUCUCCCACGUACCUGACCAAUCGAGAAUACACAAACGUAGCAUAUCCUCUAUUGUCUGGAUGGUCCUCUCCGUCUGCCCGUCCGUUUCUGGGUGAAAUGCAGUACUGAUGUGCAACUCCGUACCCAACGCUCCUUGCAAUGCUCUCCAGAAUGCUGCUGUAAAUCUUGGAUCUCGAUCUGAGACAAUGUUUGCUGGUACUCCGUGUAGCUUCACAAUCUGAUUGAUGUAAAGUUCCGCCAAUGUCUCCGUCUUGUCUGUGUCUCUGAUUGCUAACAAAUGUGCUACCUUUGUCAGCCGAUCCAUGAUAACCCAAAUUGCAUUUGAUCUUCCUCUGGCCACUGGUAAUCCUGUGAUUAGAUCCAUGGACACUGAAUCCCACUUCCACUCGGGAAUAGGUAAGCUUUGAAGUAACCCUCCUGGCACUUGGUGUUCGGCUUUGAUUUGCUGCCAAACUUGACACUGCGCUACCCAUCUUGCUACUGACUUCUUCAUUCCUGGCCAAUGGUAAUAUCUCCUUAUAUCUCUAUACAUCUUGGUGCUUCCAGGAUGUAUACUCAAAAGUGACUGAUGCGCUAACUUGAGAAUUUCCUCCUUGAAUCCACCCUCCUUUGGCACAGUGAUUCUUCCGUUGAGUAGCAAUGUUCCGUCUUCUGCCAUAUGAUAUCCACUAGCAUUUGGCCCUCCUUGCUCUCGUAGCUGCUCCAUGAUGAUCUUCAGGUUCUCGUCUUGCUGCUGCGCUCCUCGAAUACGUUGUAUCAAACUGGCUUGGUUCACGGCUUGCAUUCCCAAUGGUUCACUAGAUUCUCCUUCCAGUGCAGCUAAAGUUACCUUCUUGAAUUCGUCUGAUAACUUCUCCAAAUCUCGCUCUGAGUCUACUACAGCUCUUCGUCGACUCAAUGCAUCUGCAACCACGUUUGCUUUUCCUGGGUGAUACUGAAUCUGAACGUCGUAGUCCGCAAUGAAUUCCAUCCACCGUCUUUGUCGCAAAUUCAGAUCCGCCUGAGUGAACAAGUAUUUAAGGCUUUUGUGAUCCGUAAAUACCUGAACGCUUUCUCCAUAAAGAUACGAGCGCCAUAUCUUUAAUGCAAAAACAACGGCCGCCAUCUCCAGAUCGUGUGUGGGGUAGUUCUCCUCGUGCUUCUUCAACUGUCUUGAGGCGUAUGCAAUGACUCUGUUUUCUUGCAUUAACACACACCCUAAUCCUACCCGCGAUGCGUCAGUAUACACAACAUAUGGCUUACCCGGCUGAGGUAAGGCAAGAACUGGUGCCGUAGUCAAUGCCUCCUUGAGUUUGUUGAAAGCUCUCUCCGUAUGCUCAUCCCAAAGAAAUGGGACUUCCUUUCCCGUCAAUCGUGUCAAAGGUUUCGCGAUUGAUGAGAAAGCUUGCACGAACUUUUGGUAAUAGCCUGCCAAUCCGAGGAAACUUCUGAUCUCCGUUACUGAGGUUGGACAAGGCCACUUCUGGAUGACUUCAAUCUUCUCUGGAUCCACCGAAACUCCUUCCUUGGAAACUCUAUGACCUAAGAAACCAAUCUCGCGCUUCCAGAAUCGACACUUGCUGAGCUUAGCAAACAACUUCCGGUCUCUUAGUCUCUCAAGUACCAUCCUCAGAUGCUCCUUGUGCUCCUCCUCGCUCCGUGAGUAGAUGAGUAUGUCGUCGAUGAACACAAUCACGAACUUGUCGAGGUAGUCGUGAAAUACUUCAUUCAUCAACCUCAUGAAUACUGCUGGUGCGUUGGUUAACCCGAAUGGCAUUACAACGAACUCAAACUGGCCGUACCAAGUGUUGAAUGCUGUCUUCAUUACGUCGUUCUCUGCUAUCGGAAUUUGGUGAUAUCCCGAAGCCAAAUCUAUCUUCGAGAACAAACUCGCUCCUCUUAGUUGAUCCAACAAUUCAUCGAUCCUAGGUAAAGGGUACUUAUCCUUGAUCGUGACAUUGUUGAUUCCUCUGUAGUCGAUGCACAAUCUCAUGCUGCCAUCCUUCUUCUUCACAAACAAAACCGGAGCUCCCCAAGGUGAAGAACUUGGUCUGAUGAAACCUUUGUCUAGUAAAUCCUCCAACUGCUUCUUGAGCUCUGCUAACUCUGCUGGUGCCAUGCGGUAAGGUGCCUUGGCGAUAGGUGCAGCGCUCAGUUCUAAGUUGAUGGUGAACGGGUUACUCCGAGGUGGUGGUAACUCCGUUAACGCCCGAAACACGUCUUUAAACUCUUGGACCACUGGAAUGUCUUCCAUUCUCAAUUCCUUUCCUGUCUCCUCUCCGAUGUACGUAAGCGAUACCAAGUAGACCUCGCCGUCCACUAAGGCUCUCUCUGCUCUCAUUGCUGUGACGAACGUUGCUGAGACGCUAGGCUUGAUCCCAUAAUACGCCAAUACUCCUCGAUGGUCGUCUUCAAAGAAAACUCUUCCUCUUGCACAGUCCAGCCACGCCCGAUGCCUUGACAGCCAAUCCAUUCCUAAAAUAACCUCGAAACCUUCUAAGGGCAUGACCACUAGGUUGGCUAAAAGGGUUGCGUGUAAAAGCACAAUAGGCACAUCCAACAACACCUUUUCAGCUUUCAAGGUUUCAAGGUUUGGCCUCCAGGGGUUAACACCGAGAUAUCAAUAUCACGGGUCACAAGGGUUCCUACAAAUCUAGAGGCUACUACUGGGUUCACAAAAUUAUGGGUGGCUCCCGAAUCAAACAAAACAACAGCAGGGGUUCCACCAACCAACAAUGAUCCUAACAAAGAUCAACACACUAGCAUUCAUCCAGAAUGCUAACACAACAAACUACAAACUACUAACUACUCUACACAGAAAUAAACACGCAAAAGAGAGUUAGCACCCAAACAAACCUGUCACAGGACCUCUCGACGGUCCCGAAGCACUAGAUGGAGUUUCCUCCAUCUCCAAGGCAUAGACUCUCCCUUCGGAUGCAGGACGCCCGGCUGGGUGUUCUCUGGUCGGUCGGUUUGGUUGGGUACGCGCAGACGAUCCUCUUCCCUGUCCUGGACGGUUCACAGUACACUCGUUGGCGAAAUGACCUUUCUCUCCACAGCUGUAGCAAGUAACCGAUGCCUUCCAAUCCGUCUUCUCAGCCGUUGAGUUGGUGCAUUCACGAGAGUAAUGUCCCAACUGACCACAAUUGUAGCAUGUCACCUGUGCCUUCGGCUUCUUUCCAUGUCGUUUGAACUGACCCUUUCUUCCUUUCUUCUGGUUGGUUCGCAACUUAUCAUCCUUGGACUGACUGCUCUGAGGUUUGGGGUUUGAUCCAACGGUUGGUUCACGUUCAGCUGCUACCAUCUCCUCCACGUUGACUGCUUUCUCUAUUAACUCGAACAAACUCACAAAGUUGACGGCUUGUAGACAACUCCCGAUCUCUGGCUUAAGACCUCGUAAGAACUUACGAACUAACACCGCUUCAUCUCCGUCCUCGUAGUAGAUGUAUCGACUGAGCUUGAGAAAUUCUGAUUCGUACUCCCUAACACUCCUUUCACCUUGCUCCAAUCGAAGAAAUGCUUGCUCCAUUCUGUCUCUUGCUUCUGGAGGAAAAUACUUCCUCUGAAAUUCCUGCUUGAAUGCAUCCCAAUCCAUGUCUUCUACUCCUUGUCUUCGUGUGAUACUCUCCCACCAAGACAUUGCGUCUUUCUCCAAGUAAUGCACAGCUACGUCUUUCUUGUACUUGUAUGGACACCUGGUGGUUGAGAAGUUCUUCUCUACACGCCGUAGCCAUGUAUCUGCUUUGAAGGUGUCGGCUUCUCCUUCGAACUUAUAGGUACCCAUGUUCUUCAUCGUAAGACCAUACUUCAGGAAGUCUGGUUGUCGAGUUUCAGGUUGAUUUGCUUCUGGAUUUGGGGUAACUUUGUUGGUUAAGACUUUAGACAAAAGGUUAUGUACCAUAGAUAAGGUUGGAUCUGCUGGUCUACUUCCUUCUGCUGGAGCUGGUGCAGGUGCUUGCGUAGGUGUAGCCGGCUCUGCUGGUCUUGAGUUGAUUCUAAUUGAUGUAGAUCCUUCCGAGUUUGCAUGAGAUGAAUGGGGUCUCUGUGGUCCAACGAAUGGUUCUGAUUCCACAUGCUGAGAUAUGGGUGGUGAUACUGAUAAUCACCACGCUACAGGAGAUACGUUCUCCUCACUGUGAGCACGUUCAACGCCUUCCAUAGGCCUUGGUCCACUGUCGCCAGUUUGGUUUGCUGAAUUCGGAGCAUCCCAGAAGUUGUGGUAGUUUGCGUACCUCGACCCAUCCUGAACGACCAGCCUGCUCCUGAUCUUUGAUUAGACAUCUGCACGGUUUCAAGGGUUAAUCCUAAAGAAAGAAAAAUUCCCAAGGAACUAAUCCUAAAACUACUCCCUAAAAACCCUAAGCGGAACGGACCGGUUUCCUAAUGUGGCAUAAGCGACUCAUUUUGAAAAAUGUUGCGGUUUAAGAGCAUGAUCGGAAACACCCUCUGAUACAACCAUUUGUAACACCCCCGGACCGUACCAGGCCGGACUAACCCAGUACAUCCCGGGAGCGCCACAAGUAUAGCUCACCGUACCGGUUCGACCAAGAAUCAAGAACAAGUCAAGACUCUCGACCAAUCCGUUCCAGUUUGCUAUGACCUCGAUGUCAUGGCCUAAGGCUUCACAACCCAUACCACAAUCAUCGAGUUGUAUCGACCCGGACAAGGUCUAAUAUCAUUUAACACACAACUACGAAUAUAAACAUACAUUUUAUUAAUAAUAGGUAGAAAGUGUUUUACAAAACAUUACAAUACAAAAUACCAGAGUUUGAGCUCACGGCCUAGUGCCAAAAUGAAAAGAAAGUAAUUAUACAUUCCAAAAGAUAGUCCGCUUAUGCUUAUGCCACUUCCAAUCUACACCGGCCGCUUCCCGUUCCGCUGCGCCCUAAGCUUCCUACCUACGGGUUACCUGUAUAGUAGAAGAGGGGAUGAGUAAUCGGAAAUACUCAGUGAGUUCCAAAAAUAAACAACAACGACCCCCUUCAGCCCAUGCCUCAAACACAAUCAACAAUUGGUUAGUAAACAACACAGCAGAAGCAACAAACAAACAAGCAAGCAAGCAAGCAAACAAGCAAUUACUAAACAAACAAAUGGUCUCACCACUGAGGCCUAACUACACAAAAAGAAAGCUAGACUCGAUCCUAGACUCGAUCUACACAAACAAAAAUUCGGAUGACACACAUCCUGGGAUCCCAACACCUCGGAGCCCUAACACAUCUCCAUACUGAACACUCCCGAUCACAAACACAACAGUCACAUGGUCGGAAAACAUCAUCUCCGGGAAUUAGGCUUCUCCCAAUCUAACCCGGGCCGCAUCGUCAUGCAGCGCUUGUCCAUGGGCGCGACCCACUUCAUGUGACAAGCCAUGGAGAGUAGAUCACUCCACCACUAGAGAAUUGGGUAUCGCCCAAUCUAACUCCAUGGUCUCGAACACCUUCGGAGAAUUAGGCUUUCCCUAAUCUAACCCCGAGAUGGCCCAUGCUUUAGUCUAGAUGCCACACAAACAAGCAACAAGCGUGAGGGAGCUCCACCUCUAACCUCCACGCACAUCUAGACUCAAAGCAUAACAAUCACUCGCCCUAGUCUAGACAAACACACAAACAAUACUUAGCAUGAGGGAGCUUAACCUCAAACCUCGAUGCACCUAAGUCUAGACUAAAACUAAAUAACUAAGCGAGUGACAACUAAACAAACAAC
This 7142-nucleotide long non-coding RNA is filed under the name Brassica rapa (field mustard). RNAcentral's name for it is "long non-coding RNA (BRAP_LNC008119)". Lineage: Eukaryota; Viridiplantae; Streptophyta; Magnoliopsida; Brassicales; Brassicaceae. The record is from RNAcentral.